This 293-nucleotide long non-coding RNA is filed under the name Zea mays. Its description in RNAcentral is "long non-coding RNA (ZMAY_LNC002097)". The record is from RNAcentral. Lineage: Eukaryota; Viridiplantae; Streptophyta; Magnoliopsida; Poales; Poaceae.
GACUUGCGGCUGCGGGGAGCACUGCGAGUGCAGCCCGUGCACGUGUGGCCGGGCCACGAUGCCGUCCGGCCGCGAGAACAGGAGGGCUAACUGCUCCUGCGGGGCGUCCUGCAACUGCGCAUCCUGCGCCUCGGCCUGAUCCAUGCGCCUCGCCCUCGUGCUACCGCGCUGCCUAGUGGAGGGAGUUGUCUAGUGAGGCUCUGGAGACGAAGCAACUAGCACUACUUCUAAUAAAGGGGCUUGUGUCAUGCUCGCCAGACGCAUCACGCGCUGCAUCUGCAUCGUGGUAUCGU